UGCAGUCGAACGGCAGCACGGGUGCUUGCACCUGGUGGCGAGUGGCGAACGGGUGAGUAAUAUAUCGGAACGUGCCCUAGAGUGGGGGAUAACGUAGCGAAAGUUACGCUAAUACCGCAUACGAUCUACGGAUGAAAGUGGGGGAUCGCAAGACCUCAUGCUCAUGGAGCGGCCGAUAUCUGAUUAGCUAGUUGGUGGGGUAAAAGCCUACCAAGGCUACGAUCAGUAGCUGGUCUGAGAGGACGACCAGCCACACUGGGACUGAGACACGGCCCAGACUCCUACGGGAGGCAGCAGUGGGGAAUUUUGGACAAUGGGGGCAACCCUGAUCCAGCAAUGCCGCGUGUGUGAAGAAGGCCUUCGGGUUGUAAAGCACUUUUGUCAGGAACGAAACGGUGGAGGCUAAUACCUUCUGCUAAUGACGGUACCUGAAGAAUAAGCACCGGCUAACUACGUGCCAGCAGCCGCGGUAAUACGUAGGGUGCAAGCGUUAAUCGGAAUUACUGGGCGUAAAGCGUGCGCAGGCGGUUGUGCAAGACAGAUGUGAAAUCCCCGGGCUCAACCUGGGAAUUGCAUUUGUGACUGCACGGCUAGAGUGUGUCAGAGGGGGGUAGAAUUCCACGUGUAGCAGUGAAAUGCGUAGAUAUGUGGAGGAAUACCGAUGGCGAAGGCAGCCCCCUGGGAUAACACUGACGCUCAUGCACGAAAGCGUGGGGAGCAAACAGGAUUAGAUACCCUGGUAGUCCACGCCCUAAACGAUGUCUACUAGUUGUCGGGUCUUAAUUGACUUGGUAACGCAGCUAACGCGUGAAGUAGACCGCCUGGGGAGUACGGUCGCAAGAUUAAAACUCAAAGGAAUUGACGGGGACCCGCACAAGCGGUGGAUGAUGUGGAUUAAUUCGAUGCAACG
This 910-nucleotide ribosomal RNA is filed under the name uncultured Burkholderiales bacterium. RNAcentral describes it as "bacterial SSU rRNA". It matches the Rfam family "Bacterial small subunit ribosomal RNA", at positions 56 to 961 of the family's 1533-position model. The record is from RNAcentral. Lineage: Bacteria; Pseudomonadati; Pseudomonadota; Betaproteobacteria; Burkholderiales.